RNAcentral lists this ribosomal RNA (447 nucleotides) under uncultured bacterium. Its description in RNAcentral is "bacterial SSU rRNA". It matches the Rfam family "Bacterial small subunit ribosomal RNA", at positions 355 to 825 of the family's 1533-position model. The record is from RNAcentral.
UCGGGAAUUUUGGGCAAUGGGCGAAAGCCUGACCCAGCAACGCCGCGUGAAGGAUGAAGUAUUUCGGUAUGUAAACUUCGAAAGAAUAGGAAGAAUAAAUGACGGUACUAUUUAUAAGGUCCGGCUAACUACGUGCCAGCAGCCGCGGUAAUACGUAGGGACCAAGCGUUGUUCGGAUUUACUGGGCGUAAAGGGCGCGUAGGCGGCAAUUCAAGUCAUCUGUGAAAUCUCCGGGCUUAACUCGGAACGGUCAGAUGAUACUGCUUUGCUGGAGUGCAGAAGGGGCAAUCGGAAUUCUUGGUGUAGCGGUGAAAUGCGUAGAUAUCAAGAGGAACACCUGAGGUGAAGGCGGCUACCUGGACCAAUACUGACGCUGAGGCGCGAAAGCGUGGGGAGCAAACAGGAUUAGAUACCCCAGUAGUCCCUGAGCGGGCUGGCAAGGCGCAU